Peromyscus eremicus (cactus mouse) is the source of this 997-nucleotide long non-coding RNA. RefSeq lists it as uncharacterized. The transcript is spliced from 3 exons. The record is from RefSeq and is a predicted model, not a curated record. Lineage: Eukaryota; Metazoa; Chordata; Mammalia; Rodentia; Cricetidae.
GCCACAGCUUCCCCUUACCCUACUGCAGCCUCCGUCUGGCACUUGCGUUUGUCAUCAUCAGAAGGCUUGUUUGCCUCCUCCAGGGAAAGUGUACUGAAGGUCUGAUCUAGUGGCUGCUGAAUAUCCAACACGGAGAAUAACACCAGGUACAAAUUAGUGCCUCAGUGACAGUGACCCACGGGGUCCUCAGUUUCAGCGAAGGAGGUUCCACACUGCAGCAUCCGACUGUUUCAGGCAAUCCCAGGCGGAUGCCACUCUGUGCUCAACAAAUGGGCUUUGAAAGAAAGGAAGCAACGGAAUGGCAGUGAAGAACCUCCUGCAGAUUGCAGUUAUUUACCUUGACAGUCCUUCAGUCCAGAGUGGAUGUGGAACUUCAUAAUCAGUCUGUAGGCUAUGAAAGUUAGAGGAAAAUUGAGAUGAAGAAACGGGGUUAAGCUGCCCCAGGGGAUGGCUUGUCUGAAGACCACUUUCCAGGCAGGGGACUGCAGAUAGAGCACACCGUAAUGACUACUGCUUGUCAAAGGAUCUGAUGUGUGUUUUGCAGAAUAAAACAGCUCGUAUUUUCAGCACUUGAUAAACCGUUCUCCAGGGAAAUGAAUGAAGGCUGCACACCGCUGUCUCUGCCGCCUAAACACACACUUGUUUGAAGCAAAGGCAGCAAAAACACAAGGCAGAACAAACCCCCUGCUGCCGCUGCUUGCCGCUUACAUUUUCUUUCUGUAGCAUGUUUUCUUGUCUCGGCAGAAAACAAGUUCAGGAAAUACAGAGGAGGAAAUAUUCCAGCCUGAAAAUGGAUUUGGGCUUGGCGAAACUGAAUGAGGCGAAACGUGGAAGGUCACCCGUUUAGUCAAGUUUAGGGGUUCCGCCAGAUGAGCCUGGUCAGAUUCCAGAUGGCUCAAGAGAAGCCUGUGUCGGUCCCACUGAGGAAUUAGCCCAGACAAAUCCAAAGAAGAUCCACAGGCAAAUAAAAACUGGCACACAUUCUAAAUUAAUUCAC